GAGAUGUUCGGUUAAGUCCGCUAACGAGCGCAACCCUCGCUGUGUGUUACAAGUGUCACACGGAACUGCCGGUCAUAAACCGGAGGAAGGUGGGGAUGACGUCAAGUCAGCAUGGCCUUUAUAUCCUGGGCUACACACACGCUACAAUGGGAAGGGACAAUAGGGUUGCGAAGCCGCGAGGCGGAGCCAAUCCAGCAAAACUUCCCUCAGUUCAGAUUGCAGGCUGCAACCCGCCUGCAUGAAGUUGGAGUUGCUAGUAAACGCAGGUCAGCCAUACUGCGUUGAAUACGUUCCCGGGGCUU
Molecule: ribosomal RNA, 302 nt
Filed under: uncultured Anaerolineaceae bacterium
Lineage: Bacteria; Bacillati; Chloroflexota; Anaerolineae; Anaerolineales; Anaerolineaceae
Description: bacterial SSU rRNA
Rfam family: Bacterial small subunit ribosomal RNA
Source: RNAcentral